Molecule: long non-coding RNA, 382 nt
Organism: Xiphophorus hellerii (green swordtail)
Lineage: Eukaryota; Metazoa; Chordata; Actinopteri; Cyprinodontiformes; Poeciliidae
Exons: 2
Source: RefSeq, a predicted model, not a curated record
CCUGCUUCCAUGCUAAACAAUUCAUGCUGAGUGUGGAUCAACAGAUUGGAAACAACAACAUCUCCUGUUUUAUUUCUGCCCUCUGCAUGAUGUUUGGGAGCUAUUAUUGUUUUAACAUACAUUAUCCAUCGGGGCUGGCGUCUACACUGGAGUUUCUGCAGAGGUGUUUCUUCUCAAUCAACCCAGACAAGGGCAGUAAGGUGGAAGAAACCCGUAAACCCAGACUGCGUGUGAACCCCGUGUACUCACCUUGAUCCAGGAACUUUCGGAUCAUGAGUGGCGUGAUGUUUGAGAAAGGACUAAAGUCAGUGAGUUAUCAAGACAGUGUUUAAUCUUAACAGAGCUGAAUAGAUUUGUAAAUGUAUGUUGCAUCUCACACCUU